GGACACGUAGCUCAGUUGGUUAGAGCGUUUCCUUGACAUGGAAAAGGUCAGAGGUUCGAGUCCUCUCGCGUCCA
This 74-nucleotide transfer RNA is filed under the name Parcubacteria group bacterium. RNAcentral describes it as "tRNA-Val". It matches the Rfam family "tRNA". Rfam says of the family: Transfer RNA (tRNA) molecules are approximately 80 nucleotides in length. Their secondary structure includes four short double-helical elements and three loops (D, anti-codon, and T loops). Further hydrogen bonds mediate the characteristic L-shaped molecular structure. tRNAs have two regions of fundamental functional importance: the anti-codon, which is responsible for specific mRNA codon recognition, and the 3' end, to which the tRNAs corresponding amino acid is attached (by aminoacyl-tRNA synthetases). tRNAs cope with the degeneracy of the genetic code in two manners: having more than one tRNA (with a specific anti-codon) for a particular amino acid; and 'wobble' base-pairing, i.e. permitting non-standard base-pairing at the 3rd anti-codon position. RNAcentral also lists the same sequence under 1 other name. The record is from RNAcentral.